AGCAGAAGUUCGGCUCUCGCGGGAGCUCGAUUAGGAUCUGGGAGGCGGUCGAUCGUCGUAGAAACUUGGGUGGAGUCUGGUUACUGUAGAAAUCUCAUUGUCGGGGAAACUCGGAUGCUGAUGAAAUCCGAAAGAAGUUCGGGGGUUGUCGGUUACUGUAGAAGGUCGGCUAACAGUGGGGCCCUGAGGGCCUUUGGGGUGGCCCAGUGGAUGAAUGCAGAAGUUCAUUGUCGGAGAAGUCCGGACGGC
RNAcentral lists this long non-coding RNA (249 nucleotides) under Elaeis guineensis (African oil palm). Its description in RNAcentral is "long non-coding RNA (EGUI_LNC019537)". Lineage: Eukaryota; Viridiplantae; Streptophyta; Magnoliopsida; Arecales; Arecaceae. The record is from RNAcentral.